CAAUUAAGAGGCAUUAGUAAAAAUUACAUAACUUUGUCAUAGUUAAAUUAUAGGUGAAAAUCCUUUAUGCUUCU
This 74-nucleotide transfer RNA is filed under the name Monachus monachus (Mediterranean monk seal). Its description in RNAcentral is "tRNA-Asp". It matches the Rfam family "tRNA". From Rfam's summary of the family: Transfer RNA (tRNA) molecules are approximately 80 nucleotides in length. Their secondary structure includes four short double-helical elements and three loops (D, anti-codon, and T loops). Further hydrogen bonds mediate the characteristic L-shaped molecular structure. tRNAs have two regions of fundamental functional importance: the anti-codon, which is responsible for specific mRNA codon recognition, and the 3' end, to which the tRNAs corresponding amino acid is attached (by aminoacyl-tRNA synthetases). tRNAs cope with the degeneracy of the genetic code in two manners: having more than one tRNA (with a specific anti-codon) for a particular amino acid; and 'wobble' base-pairing, i.e. permitting non-standard base-pairing at the 3rd anti-codon position. Lineage: Eukaryota; Metazoa; Chordata; Mammalia; Carnivora; Phocidae. The record is from RNAcentral.